RNAcentral lists this ribosomal RNA (333 nucleotides) under uncultured eukaryote. RNAcentral's name for it is "partial 18S ribosomal RNA". It matches the Rfam family "Eukaryotic small subunit ribosomal RNA", at positions 1470 to 1796 of the family's 1831-position model. The record is from RNAcentral.
CCCUUAGAUGUUCUGGGCUGCACGCGCGCUACACUGAUACUUUCAGCGAGUCCACCACCUUGCCUGAGAGGGUGGGGUAACCUCUGGAAAGUGUAUCGUGAUGGGGAUCGAUUAUUGUAAUUAUUAAUCUUCAACGAGGAAUUCCUAGUAAGCAUGUGUCAUCAGCCCGUGCUGAUUACGUCCCUGCCCUUUGUACACACCGCCCGUCGCUACUACCGAUUGAACGGUUUAGUGAGGGCCUCGGAUUGGUCUCGGCCCGCUCUUUACCGGGCGGCGCCGUUGGUCGAGAAGACGCUCGAACUUGAUCGUUUAGAGGAAGUAAAAGUCGUAACA